UAUUAAAAAACCUAACACUUUCUGGGAUGAAACUAGGGGUUAACCAUAUAACUUAAAGAAAUUGGCCAAUUACGUCAUGGUUUUCUCAGAAUAAUCCUGUAGCUAGAGUUUUUGCACUUGAAUAGGUCAAAGCAGACGCGGAUUUAUCAUAAGGCAGCGACGGGUAGCUUAUUGGACCAGUGGAGAAUUGAAGGAUAAUAUUGAUGACGACAUGCCAGACUUGAAACUUAAGAAAUUUGAGAAUAUAGGCUAUGGAUAUGAUCCAUACAAUUUCAUUUAUAAUUUUGUCUAUGUCACAAAUGAUGAUGAAGAUUACAUGAGCUACUUCCUUGGAAUAGACUCGGUUCUAACCCGUAAUGAACUAAAAAUUUCUGGAUGGAAGCUGGACUCUAAAGGGUUUAUAUUCGAUCAUAAAAGAAUGGUAACCUUAGUCUUUCAA
Molecule: long non-coding RNA, 439 nt
Filed under: Olea europaea subsp. europaea
Lineage: Eukaryota; Viridiplantae; Streptophyta; Magnoliopsida; Lamiales; Oleaceae
Source: RNAcentral